AUUUCUCUGAGAUGUUUGCAAGCGGGCCAGUCCCCUGAGCCGAUAUUUCAUACCACAAGAAUGUGGCGCUCCACGGUCGGUGAGCAUGCUCGGUUCGUCCGAGAAGCCUUAAGACUUUGACGACACAUUCACCUUGAACCAAGGGUUCAAGGGUUACAGCCUGCGGCGGCAUCUCGGAGAUUCC
Molecule: non-coding RNA, 184 nt
Organism: Pluralibacter gergoviae
Lineage: Bacteria; Pseudomonadati; Pseudomonadota; Gammaproteobacteria; Enterobacterales; Enterobacteriaceae
Rfam family: 6S / SsrS RNA
About the family: E. coli 6S RNA was the first non coding RNA to be sequenced, but its function was unknown until recently. It consists of 184 nucleotides that fold into an extended hairpin structure with a large single-stranded internal bulge.
Source: Rfam